This is a long non-coding RNA of Neogale vison (American mink), 260 nucleotides long. RefSeq lists it as uncharacterized. NCBI's taxonomy places the organism in Eukaryota, Metazoa, Chordata, Mammalia, Carnivora, Mustelidae. The record is from RefSeq and is a predicted model, not a curated record. The transcript is spliced from 3 exons.
GGGGCCACCGGAGGAAAACAAUACCGUUGGACCACGGAAAGAAAAGUCCAUUUGGCCUCAGACUAAGUCCCCAGAGUCAACCCAUUUUUGCAUUCGAGUGGAAGGACCCAGAAUUGGGAAUUUCAGGUCAGCUAACCUGGACAAGGCUACCACAAGGAUUUAAGAACAGCCCCACGUUAUUCGAUGAGGCCCUCCACCAGGACCUAGCCGAUUUCCGGAUCCUUGCAGAAACGCAUGGAACACGACCUGACCUAACCAAC